AGGACGAACGCUGGCGGCGCGCUUAACACAUGCAAGUCGAGCGAGAACCAGGGCUUCGGCUCUGGGGACAGCGGCGAACGGGUGAGUAACACGUGAGUAAUCUGCCCUCGACACUGGGAUAGCCCGGGGAAACCCGGAUUAAUACCGGAUAGCCUUUCGGAGCUCUCGGACUCGUCAGAAAAGGAUGGCUUCGGCUUUCGGUUGAGGAUGAGCUUGCGGCGGAUUAGCUUGUUGGUGAGGUAACGGCUCACCAAGGCGACAAUCCGUAGCUGGUCUGAGAGGACGAUCAGCCACACUGGGACUGAGACACGGCCCAGACUCCUACGGGAGCAGCAGUGGGGAAUCUUGCGCAAUGAGCGAAAGCUUGACGCAGCGACGCCGCGUGACGGGAAGAAGGCCUU
This 401-nucleotide ribosomal RNA is filed under the name uncultured soil bacterium. RNAcentral describes it as "bacterial SSU rRNA". It matches the Rfam family "Bacterial small subunit ribosomal RNA", at positions 26 to 418 of the family's 1533-position model. The record is from RNAcentral.